Molecule: ribosomal RNA, 119 nt
Filed under: Pteropus alecto (black flying fox)
Lineage: Eukaryota; Metazoa; Chordata; Mammalia; Chiroptera; Pteropodidae
Source: RNAcentral
GUCUAUGCCCAUGCUAUUCUGAACUUGUCCAAUCGCAUCUGAUCUUGGAAACUAAGCAGGGUCGGUCCUGGUUAGUACUUGGAUGGGAGACCACCUAGGAAGACCAGGUGCUGUAGGCA